AGUCGAGCGAGUCUGCCUUGAAGAUCGGAGUGCUUGCACUCUGUGAAACAAGAUACAGGCUAGCGGCGGACGGGUGAGUAACACGUGGGUAACCUGCCCAAGAGAUCGGGAUAACACCUGGAAACAGAUGCUAAUACCGGAUAACAACAGAUGAUGCCUAUCAACUGUUUAAAAGAUGGUUCUGCUAUCACUCUUGGAUGGACCUGCGGUGCAUUAGCUAGUUGGUAGGGUAACGGCCUACCAAGGCGAUGAUGCAUAGCCGAGUUGAGAGACUGAUCGGCCACAUUGGGACUGAGACACGGCCCAAACUCCUACGGGAGGCAGCAGUAGGGAAUCUUCCACAAUGGACGCAAGUCUGAUGGAGCAACGCCGCGUGAGUGAAGAAGGGUUUCGGCUCGUAAAGCUCUGUUGUUGGUGAAGAAGGACAGGGGUAGUAACUGACCUUUGUUUGACGGUAAUCAAUUAGAAAGUCACGGCUAACUACGUGCCAGCAGCCGCGGUAAUACGUAGGUGGCAAGCGUUGUCCGGAUUUAUUGGGCGUAAAGCGAGUGCAGGCGGCUCGAUAAGUCUGAUGUGAAAGCCUUCGGCUCAACCGGAGAAUUGCAUCAGAAACUGUCGAGCUUGAGUACAGAAGAGGAGAGUGGAACUCCAUGUGUAGCGGUGAAAUGCGUAGAUAUAUGGAAGAACACCGGUGGCGAAGGCGGCUCUCUGGUCUGUUACUGACGCUGAGGCUCGAAAGCAUGGGUAGCGAACAGGAUUAGAUACCCUGGUAGUCCAUGCCGUANACGAUGAGUGCUAAGUGUUGGGAGGUUUCCGCCUCUCAGUGCUGCAGCUAACGCAUUAAGCACUCCG
RNAcentral lists this ribosomal RNA (852 nucleotides) under uncultured bacterium. RNAcentral's name for it is "bacterial SSU rRNA". It matches the Rfam family "Bacterial small subunit ribosomal RNA", at positions 60 to 871 of the family's 1533-position model. The record is from RNAcentral.